GUAAGGAAUAUUGGUCAAUGGAGGCAACUCUGAACCAGCCAUGCCGCGUGCAGGAAGACGGCCCUCUGGGUUGUAAACUGCUUUUAUCUGGGAAGAAAAAGGCCAUGCGUGGCAAAUUGCCGGUACCAGAUGAAUAAGCACCGGCUAACUCCGUGCCAGCAGCCGCGGUAAUACGGAGGGUGCGAGCGUUGUCCGGAUUUAUUGGGUUUAAAGGGUGCGUAGGCGGCUGAUUAAGUCAGCGGUGAAAGACUUCGGCUUAACCGGAGCAGUGCCGUUGAUACUGGUUGGCUUGAGUGUCGGAGGGGUACAUGGAAUUGAUGGUGUAGCGGUGAAAUGCAUAGAUACCAUCAGGAACACCGAUAGCGAAGGCAUUGUACUGGCCGACAACUGACGCUGAUGCACGAAAGUGUGGGGAUCGAACAGGAUUAGAAACCCCUGUAGUCC
This 444-nucleotide ribosomal RNA is filed under the name uncultured bacterium. RNAcentral describes it as "partial 16S ribosomal RNA". It matches the Rfam family "Bacterial small subunit ribosomal RNA", at positions 354 to 796 of the family's 1533-position model. The record is from RNAcentral.